Molecule: transfer RNA, 64 nt
Filed under: Bolitoglossa n. sp. RLM-2004
Lineage: Eukaryota; Metazoa; Chordata; Amphibia; Caudata; Plethodontidae
Description: tRNA-Ser
Source: RNAcentral
ACCGAGUAUGAGUUAAUAGAGAUUGCUAACCUUCUAUAUCCGAGGAUAACCCCACGGCUUACUC